GAGUUUGAUCGUGCUCAGAUUGAACGCUAGCGGGAUGCCUUACACAUGCAAGUCGAACGGCAGCACGGACUUCGGUCUGGUGGCGAGUGGCGAACGGGUGAGUAAUGUAUCGGAACGUGCCUAGUAGCGGGGGGAUAACUACGCGAAAGCGUAGCUAAUACCGCAUACGCCCUACGGGGAAAGCAGGGGAUCGCAAGACCUUGCACUAUUAGAGCGGCCGAUAUCGGAUUAGCUAGUUGGUGGGGUAACGGCUCACCAAGGCGACGAUCCGUAGCUGGUUUGAGAGGACGACCAGCCACACUGGAACUGAGACACGGCCCAGACUCCUACGGGAGGCAGCAGUGGGGAAUUUUGGACAAUGGGGAAACCCUGAUCCAGCCAUCCCGCGUGUGCGAUGAAGGCC
Molecule: ribosomal RNA, 403 nt
Filed under: uncultured microorganism
Description: bacterial SSU rRNA
Rfam family: Bacterial small subunit ribosomal RNA
Source: RNAcentral